This 3914-nucleotide ribosomal RNA is filed under the name Triticum aestivum (bread wheat). RNAcentral describes it as "partial small subunit ribosomal RNA". Lineage: Eukaryota; Viridiplantae; Streptophyta; Magnoliopsida; Poales; Poaceae. The record is from RNAcentral.
CUGCAGCUCGGGAAUUCGUUCCGUAUCAGUUUGCCAUACUAGCACCAUUUCCUGUGCCAAAACAGAGGAAGAGAACCCAAGGCCAGAAAAAAUCAGCCCAGUUAAUAAUUAACCAUUUAAAGAGGGCGGCCGUGACCGCGAGCCGGGAAGAAUCCGCUGCGGGGGAGUAGAAAAACAACUAGCUCAAAGCCAGCGACCGGGCUAGAGAAUUUCCAACCUCCAAUCCAAGCCUCGCCCUCUCCUCUUCUCGCCUCGUCUCCCUCCCAGCAAGUAGCAGCAGCCUCCGAUUCCCUCCUCCCGCCGCCUCCUCAGAUCUGCGCCGCCGCGCCGCCUCCCGGCCAAUCCGUCGUCCUCAUCCCCGCCGCCAGCCGAGGAGUGGCGGCCGCCGCUUGGUUGCUUCCGUCCGGGGCCGGCGCUAUCGGCGGCGGAGGCUGCCGGGCCUUUUCCGGACCGGCAAAUGGUUCCGGAGCUGGGGCUUGGAGGCUUCCGGUUCCGUGUGGUCUGCUGAUUGGGCCCAGCCGGGGCGGCGACUGAUUCUUGGGGGAACCACAAGUUUGCUUCUUUUGAUUUCCUCCGCGCUCAGGUUCAGAUUAUAGAGCGUUUCUGGAUGAAACGGAUAGAUUUUACUGGGUUCAGAUACCGAGCUUCUGUCUUGUGUGCUAGCACCCUUCUCCGCCAGAAAACAGGACUUCUGCAGCUGCUUGAGGCUGUUAGCUUCGGUUGCCUUUUCCUCCAAAGGAGUGGAUAAGUAUCUGGAACCAAUCGAGUGCAGCAAAGCCAUGGAUGUGCCUCUGCCUUCACAGUCCAACCGUGCUGGAUGCAAUGGAAGCGUCGGCAGCCCGUCGGAUGAUCCAUAUGGCGUUACGGCCAUGAUGAACUUUGAUGGGUACUCAGAGCUCUGCGGCAGCCCUUCGUUAGCUGACCAGCUGUUCUCGUUGCUGAACGACUCGUCAACACACCAGAUGUUUGCUAUGUGGUCAUCCUUGGGCUCUUCGCCACGUGCUUCUGGUGUCAGUGAAGAUAUGCAGCUCGAUGCCUAUUCCAGUGUACCUGGGGAUCAAAAGGUUGAUUUGGUAUCUUCGGUGAAUCCAGCUGAAAAUGGGACCGGGAGAAUGGCCAAGAGUUCAGGCGACCUUGGCUCAGAUGGUGAUCCCGAGCAAGGAAGUACUAGCGUGGUUCCGAGGCCUAUUGCCGGCAACUUACUCGCUGACAGGAUGCUCAUGGCUCUGUCUUUGUUCAGGAAGUCACUUGGCGGCGGUGUUCUUGCGCAGGUUUGGAUGCCUGUUGAGCAGGAGGGGCAUGUCGUGCUUAGUACAUGUGAACAGCCGUUUCUGCUUGACCAAGCUCUUGCUGGGUACAGAGAAGUAUCCAGGCAUUUUGUGUUCUCUGCUAAGGAGGAGACCUGCCUUCAACCAGGGCUUCCAGGGAGGGUCUUCAUCUCCGGUGUGCCAGAAUGGACCUCAAAUGUGCUCUACUACAGCAAGCCAGAGUAUUUGAGGAUGGAGUAUGCUCUUCACCAUGAAGUUCGAGGAUCACUUGCAAUGCCGAUAUAUGACCCUAGCAAGGGCUCUUGCUGUGCAGUGCUUGAGCUUAUCACAAAGAAGGAGAAACCUGACUUCGAUGCAGAAAUGAACAACCUUCGCCAUGCAUUGCAGGCUGUGAACUUGGAGACAGCAAAAGAUUGUAUCGAUCAGAAGGUUUAUUCAGCAAAUCAGAAAGCCACCUUCACUGAGAUUUUGGAUGUUCUAAGAGCUAUUUGCCAUGCACACAUGCUUCCUUUGGCCCUUACAUGGGUCCCUUCAUCAAAUGGCAGUGAUGGUGGUUAUGUUGGACAUGAUAAUGUCCUUGAUUCUCAGUCAGGAAAAGCGAUACUCCGCAUCCAUGAAUCAGCGUGUUAUGUUAAUGAUGCAAAGAUGCAAGGUUUUUUUCAUGCAUGCACUGAAACUCACCUUGAGAAAGGGCAAGGUAUUGCAGGCCGAGCACUCAAGUCCAAUCUGCCGUUCUUCUCUCCUAAUAUAAGAGAAUACGGAAUUAAGGAUUACCCACUCGCACACCAUGCUCGUAAGUUUGGUCUGCAUGCUGCUGUAGCAAUCCGGCUAAGGAGCACAUACACUGGUGAUGAUGACUACAUACUAGAAUUCUUUCUACCAAUCAACUGCACAGGCAGUGAAGAACAACAGAUGUUAUUGAAUAACCUGUCCAGUACUAUGCAAAGAAUAUGCAAAAGUUUGCGAACAGUUUCUGAAGCAGAGGUUGAUAAAGUUGACGCUUGUACUGCAGUAAUGUAUAAGGCAACCAGUGGAAGUUGCUUGCCUACUGGUCAGUCUGGGAGUUCUUCACAUGGUGAUCAACCUGCCACAGAAGAGGCAUUCCAGGAUCUAUCUUUAAUUGAUAAGCAAGGGGACAUGUCCGAGCAGGCACAGUCUAGUUCAAUGCGACUUGCGGAGAAAAAGCGCAGUACAGCGGAGAAGAAUAUUGGCAUGGAUGUUCUCCGUAAGUACUUUUCUGGGAGCCUAAAGGAUGCUGCAAAGAGCCUCGGUGUUUGUCCAACAACCUUGAAACGGAUAUGCCGCACACAUGGAAUUUCGCGAUGGCCAUCUCGCAAGAUAAACAAGGUCAACCGUUCGUUAAAGAAGAUCCAAACUGUCAUUAACUCGGUCCAUGGAGUGGACAGCUCUUUGCAGUAUGAUCCAGCUACUGGAUCUCUUGUUCCAGCAGUUUCUCUGCCAGAGAAGACGUCAUUCCCUUCAUGUGAUGCUGUGUCUAGUCCAUCUGUUGGGAAAACUGUGGAUGAAAAAUCUGGCCCAAAAUCUGAGCAAGGGUAUUCGUCACCUGAAGGAUGGGAAAGAGAUAGCUGUCAGUUGCAGCGCCCUGAUGCGCAGAAAGGGGAAGGCGAUGAAUUUCACAUGCAGACAACUAACUAUAGUGGCAGUGGUGAUCACGGCUCUUAUGGUCCGAAUGUCACACAUCAUAUUAUUUCUGAAGGAACACAAGGACCAUUAUAUCCCACUGGUGCUGUUAGUGCUUUACAUGACAAAGAAACAGGUUGCAUCGAACCUUUGCCCUGUGUCCUCCCAAGCAUCAAGACUACCAGGGACCAAAUAGUGGGAAGGAACUCACCACCCAUGCAACAAGCAGAUAUUGAUAUGUUUGAUGAUCGCGAAGGCAGGGAGCAUACUCAUCCUUCUACCUCUGGUAUGACAGACUCUUCUAGCGGCAGUGCAUCAAGCCACCCUACAUUCAAGAAGAACCCAGCACGCCCACUUAAGGACAAGAGCAGCCCUGCACUUACGGUCAAGGCGACGUACAAUGGAGACACCGUGCGGUUCAAGUUCUUGCCAUCGAUGGGCUGGUACCACCUGCUGGAAGAAAUAGCCAAGAGGUUCAAGCUGUCGACCGGGGUGUUCCAGCUCAAGUACAAGGAUGACGAGGACGAGUGGGUCAUCAUGGCGAACGACUCCGAUCUCCAGGAGUGUGUCGACGUCAUGGACUCGAUGGGCACGCGAAACGUGAAGCUCCAGGUCCGGGAUCUCCCGUGCCUCAUCAGCAGCUCGGGCAGCAGCAGCUGCUUGCAGCUGGAAGGACACAAUUCAUGACACGGUGAGGAAGUCUAAAAAAGGAUCUUUUCUUACCCUCAACUGUAUCAUACUGUGGUAGGUGUAGUCUACGCUGUGUAGCAACAGGGUUUGGUAGUCUGUACUGUACGCGUGUAGCGUGUUAUGUAGCGGCAAUGGCGAACAGGAAGUGUAGCGAUCGUCGAAUGUCAUGGAGGUCCCUGAGAGGAUAUCAUGACAAUAAUCUGUUGUCAUGAGGGUCUGCGGUGCCUGGCUGCCAAUGUAUCGAAAACUCGAACUCCUGGCUGUGUUAUGCAUGCCGGAGGAAACCAAUGAAUGUUUCUGGACUUCCCAUGGUUC